This 143-nucleotide unclassified non-coding RNA is filed under the name uncultured fungus. RNAcentral describes it as "sequence contains ITS1, 5.8S rRNA gene". Lineage: Eukaryota; Fungi. The record is from RNAcentral.
CGUAUGGUAGGCCGGUCUGACCGGUUCUAUUCAACCCUGUUUUUUGCGCACCCUUUGUUUCCUCGGCAGGCUUGCCUGCCAGUAGGACCUUUUCAACCCUUCGUGUCAAAGCAAUCAGCGUCAAACAAACAAAACAAUGGUAA